AGUCUUUCACACUACGUCACUGCGGUUGUCCGGUUGCGCAACAGGCUAUGGCUGUUGCCCGCUCUGGUAACAAGUGACCGUCACUGGCAGUUGCCGUCAUCGACCGUUGGGCACUGUUUCAAAUGGGAGCUUUCAUACUAAGCUACCGUGUGGCGCAACUUUCGUUCUAAUCUGUCACUUUUCUCAGUGGCCUGCCAGCUUUGCACAGGGAAGAACGUGCGAGAUGGAGGGGAUGAAGGUGUUGGAGAAAAUUAACACAAGAUUUCAUUCACGAAGUGGAAAAACACCCAGCAGUUUGGGAUUCAUCCACUGACCAAUAUAGCAACAAGAAUGAAAAGAGGAACGCGUGGAGUGAAAUUAUUAUGCACUUCAUUCCCGACUUUGAAGGGAAAUCUCCAGCUGAGAAGAAUGAAAUAGCUACUCAUGUCCAGAAGAGGUAGAAGGGAAUUCGUGCCUGUUACACCAGAGAGCUUAUGAAGAAAAAGAAUUGAGAAGAGUGGGUCAGAUGUAAGUGGACGGAAGCAGUAUGCUUACUUUGAAAUCCUCCGUUUCCUUGAAACGGUGUGCAAACGAACCGCUAGUAUUAUGGAUGGAAACAAUGAUGAGGAUGCUGAAAAUGAUGGCGUACAAAAGGGUGAUAUGGAGACUCCAAGGGAAGUCGGAGACUGAGAAACGUCCUAAACACUCUAGGAUGAAGAAAAACAAUGAUGAUUAACUGAUUCAAGUCUUGAAGAGCAAAAUUCUUCGCGAAAAUCAACAGCCAUCCGAUGAAACAAACGAGGAUAAGUAACCGUUGUUCUUAAGGUGCAUACACACUGCGCUGAUGUUUCGUGUUAACACGCCAUGUGACGUGUCAACACAGCAACAGAUUGCAUCAUAUAACACAACGACGUUUUUAUUUAUCUGAUGCAUGUUACGUCAGAAAGAUUUGAUUUUUUGUGGAGUGAGCACGUUCUUUCUUUCUUAUCCUCCAAUUUUGUGUUGUAAAAAUUGAAAAUGAAUGAAAAUGUUAAAUGAACUCGAUGAAGAAGAGGAGCAGUUAGUAGCAAUAGCUAUAGCGCUUGCUACUUCUGGAGAAAAAACUCAAACAAAUGUGAUAAACGCCGAAAGGGAUAGUUUGGGCGAGUUUCAUCACCUAUUUCCCCAGCUACUGUCACAGGAAGAUCGUUUUGUUAUAUACUUUAGGAUGACAAAAGAAGAGUUCUACAACCUUUUAGACAUAAUAAAACCAGCAAUUACAAAAUCCAACACUCAACUAAAGAAAUGUAUAGCAGCAGAAGAGAGACUUGCUGUAUGCUUGAGGUGAGUAAAACUUACACAAUUAUGUCUUAAUAUUAUUUUCAGCUAAUUAGGUACAUGAAACACAUAGAUAUGUAAGAUAUUACAUAGAAAAAUAUACUGCCUCCGUUCCUGUAGGACUUCGAAACACUAUUGAAUAAUAUCAAAACACUAUACAAUAAUAUGCGCCUACACCUAUCUGACGCAGAUUUCCUUCUGACGAAUAUCUGGGAGUUUUGAAUUUGAUCUGAUGCGUGUUGAUGCAUGUUAUGUCGCGUAACACGUCAGCUGACGUGUUACGCGACAUAUCAGACCAGUGUGAACUUCAUUAUGAGAACGCCUGUUCCAGAUUUUUUGCUAACACGUGUUAACACGUCAUAUGGCGUGCUAACACGAAACAUCAGCGCAGUGUGUAUGCACCUUUACUAUCCCUUGUAUCAGAACUUCAAAAGGUACCUGCAGACAGAAAGCUUCAAGUAAAAUAACAUAUCAUGACUACCAUCGCGCAAGCUCAACAAAUUUACUAAUAACUGCCACAGUAUCAAUAUCCAACACUCCCUGUUUAUCAUCCGACACAUCUACCUUACUAUGCGCAGCAGCCAACAGAAGUGCUCUUGUGCAGUCAACUCCUACACCAGCAUCAUCACCUUCGUCACCUACCUAUUCGGAAGUCAGCAGCGUAAAUGAUGACUUUAUUAAUUUCGACCAGUGAGCCUCACAUGGAUUUCCAUAGUAAUUACAUAAAUACUGUACGUUGAAGAAAAUAAAAUUACCAAAAGGA
Long non-coding RNA from Scylla paramamosain (green mud crab), 2059 nucleotides. RefSeq lists it as uncharacterized. Lineage: Eukaryota; Metazoa; Arthropoda; Malacostraca; Decapoda; Portunidae. The record is from RefSeq and is a predicted model, not a curated record. The transcript is spliced from 2 exons.